RNAcentral lists this ribosomal RNA (528 nucleotides) under Wickerhamiella pararugosa. RNAcentral describes it as "eukaryotic LSU rRNA". It matches the Rfam family "Eukaryotic large subunit ribosomal RNA", at positions 45 to 583 of the family's 3401-position model. The record is from RNAcentral. Lineage: Eukaryota; Fungi; Ascomycota; Dipodascomycetes; Dipodascales; Trichomonascaceae.
AAUAAGCGGAGGAAAAGAAACCAACAGGGAUUCCCUUAGUAACGGCGAGUGAACCGGGAAAAGCUCAAAUUUGAAAUCUGCCAACAGGCCGAGUUGUAAUUUGUAGAUGGCUACACUGCAUAAUAGUAGAUGCUCAAGUUCUUUGGAAAAAGACAUCAUGGAGGGUGACAAUCCCGUGAGGCAUGUUACUAGGAGCAUAUAGUGGGCUUUCUAAGAGUCGAGUUGUUUGGGAAUGCAGCUCAAAGUGCGUGGUGAAUACCAUGUAAAGCUAAAUAUGGACGAGAGACCGAUAGCGAACAAUACUGUGAAGGAAAGAUGAAAAGCACUCCGAAAGGAGAGUGAAAUAGUACGUGAAAUUGUUAAAGUGGAAGGGCUUGAGAUCAGAAUUGGUAGUUUGGGUUCCACGUCCUCUUGGGGGCGUGUACUCCCUUUCCACCGGGCCAGCGGGAGUUUCGUCUCUUGGGUAAAAGCAGUGGAAUGUAGCAGCUUGUCUGUAUUAUAGCCUCUGUUCAUACAAGACGUCGAGAC